GAGUUUGAUCAUGGCUCAGAUUGAACGCUGGCGGCAGGCCUAACACAUGCAAGUCGAGCGGUAGAGAGAAGCUUGCUUCUCUUGAGAGCGGCGGACGGGUGAGUAAUGCCUAGGAAUCUGCCUGGUAGUGGGGGAUAACGCUCGGAAACGGACGCUAAUACCGCAUACGUCCUACGGGAGAAAGCAGGGGACCUUCGGGCCUUGCGCUAUCAGAUGAGCCUAGGUCGGAUUAGCUAGUUGGUGAGGUAAUGGCUCACCAAGGCGACGAUCCGUAACUGGUCUGAGAGGAUGAUCAGUCACACUGGAACUGAGACACGGUCCAGACUCCUACGGGAGGCAGCAGUGGGGAAUAUUGGACAAUGGGCGAAAGCCUGAUCCAGCCAUGCCGCGUGUGUGAAGAAGGUCUUCGGAUUGUAAAGCACUUUAAGUUGGGAGGAAGGCAGUAAAUUAAUACUUUGCUGUUUGACGUUACCGACUAGAAUAAGCACCGGCUAACUCUGUGCCAGCCC
This 509-nucleotide ribosomal RNA is filed under the name uncultured bacterium. RNAcentral's name for it is "bacterial SSU rRNA". It matches the Rfam family "Bacterial small subunit ribosomal RNA", at positions 9 to 514 of the family's 1533-position model. The record is from RNAcentral.